This 242-nucleotide long non-coding RNA is filed under the name Gossypium barbadense (sea-island cotton). RNAcentral's name for it is "long non-coding RNA (GBAR_LNC001106)". Lineage: Eukaryota; Viridiplantae; Streptophyta; Magnoliopsida; Malvales; Malvaceae. The record is from RNAcentral.
AAAUUUCAAAUGCAUGAGUUUUGAAAAUUAUGAGAUGAUCUUGUAUUGAGGGUUUGAAAUGUUGUAUCCUAUCAUGUUAGGUAUGAUAUUUUAUUCAUUCUCAGCGAGAGAAUCUCAAUAUCCGAUUCAAGAUAUCUAAACGUUUUUCAAGGAACUGCGUUUUAAAUUUUUUUUCCAAAUUUUCAAUAUUAGCACAUUAAUUGAUCAAUACAGUACCAAUUUUGGGCGCUGCGAGGGUGCUA